RNAcentral lists this ribosomal RNA (497 nucleotides) under uncultured bacterium. RNAcentral describes it as "partial 16S ribosomal RNA". It matches the Rfam family "Bacterial small subunit ribosomal RNA", at positions 28 to 507 of the family's 1533-position model. The record is from RNAcentral.
GAUGAACGCUGGCGGCGUGCCUAAUACAUGCAAGUCGAGCGAACAGACGAGGAGCUUGCUCCUCUGACGUUAGCGGCGGACGGGUGAGUAACACGUGGAUAACCUACCUAUAAGACUGGGAUAACUUCGGGAAACCGGAGCUACUACCGGAUCAUAUAUUGAACCGCAUGGUUCAAUAGUGAAAGACGGUUUUGCUGUCACUUAUAGAUGGAUCCGCGCCGCAUUAGCUAGUUGGUAAGGUAACGGCUUACCAAGGCGACGAUGCGUAGCCGACCUGAGAGGGUGAUCGGCCACACUGGAACUGAGACACGGUCCAGACUCCUACGGGAGGCAGCAGUAGGGAAUCUUCCGCAAUGGGCGAAAGCCUGACGGAGCAACGCCGCGUGAGUGAUGAAGGUCUUCGGAUCGUAAAACUCUGUUAUUAGGGAAGAACAAAUGUGUAAGUAACUAUGCACGUCUUGACGGUACCUAAUCAGAAAGCCACGGCUAACUACGUG